RNAcentral lists this ribosomal RNA (496 nucleotides) under uncultured bacterium. RNAcentral describes it as "partial 16S ribosomal RNA". It matches the Rfam family "Bacterial small subunit ribosomal RNA", at positions 29 to 507 of the family's 1533-position model. The record is from RNAcentral.
ACGCACGCUGGCGGCGUGCCUAAUACAUGCAAGUAGAACGCUGAAGAGAGGAGCUUGCUCUUCUUGGAUGAGUUGCGAACGGGUGAGUAACGCGUAGGUAACCUGCCUUGUAGCGGGGGAUAACUAUUGGAAACGAUAGCUAAUACCGCAUAACAAUGGAUGACACAUGUCAUUUAUUUGAAAGGGGCAAUUGCUCCACUACAAGAUGGACCUGCGUUGUAUUAGCUAGUAGGUGAGGUAAUGGCCCACCUAGGCGACGAUACAUAGCCGACCUGAGAGGGUGAUCGGCCACACUGGGACUGAGACACGGCCCAGACUCCUACGGGAGGCAGCAGUAGGGAAUCUUCGGCAAUGGGGGCAACCCUGACCGAGCAACGCCGCGUGAGUGAAGAAGGUUUUCGGAUCGUAAAGCUCUGUUGUAAGUCAAGAACGGGUGUGAGAGUGGAAAGUUCACACUGUGACGGUAGCUUACCAGAAAGGGACGGCUAACUACGUG